GCUUAGAGUUUGAUCCUGGCUCAGGAUGAACGCUGGCGGUAUGCUUAACACAUGCAAGUCGAACGGAGUACUUCGGUACUUAGUGGCGGACGGGUGAGUAACGCGUGAGAAUCUGCCUUCAGGAUGGGGAUAACAGUGGGAAACCAUUGCUAAUACCCAAUGAGCCGAGAGGUAAAAAAUUUAUUGCCUGAAGAGGAGCUCGCGUCCGAUUAGUUAGUUGGUGGGGUAAAGGCUUACCAAGACGGCGAUCGGUAGCUGGUCUGAGAGGAUGAGCAGCCACACUGGGACUGAGACACGGCCCAGACUCCUACGGGAGGCAGCAGUGGGGAAUUUUCCGCAAUGGGCGCAAGCCUGACGGAGCAAUACCGCGUGAGGGAGGAAGGCCUUUGGGUUGUAAACCUCUUUUCUUAAGGAAGAAGAUCUGACGGUACUUAAGGAAUCAGCAUCGGCUAACUCCGUGCCAGCAGCCGCGGUAAUACGGAGGAUGCAAGCGUUAUCCGGAAUUAUUGGGCGUAAAGCGUCCGCAGGCGGCACUAUAAGUCUGCUGUCAAAGACCGCAGCUCAACUGCGGAAAGGCAGUGGAAACUGUAGAGCUAGAGUACGGUAGGGGUAGAGGGAAUUCCCAGUGUAGCGGUGAAAUGCGUAGAGAUUGGGAAGAACACCAGUGGCGAAAGCGCUCUACUGGGCCGUAACUGACGCUCAGGGACGAAAGCUAGGGGAGCGAAAGGGAUUAGAUACCCCUGUAGUCCUAGCUGUAAACGAUGGAUACUAGGCGUAGCUUGUAUCGACCCGAGCUGUGCCGAAAGCUACGCGUUAAGUAUCCCGCCUGGGGAGUACGCACGCAAGUGUGAAACUCAAAGGAAUUGACGGGGG
This 873-nucleotide ribosomal RNA is filed under the name uncultured bacterium. Its description in RNAcentral is "bacterial SSU rRNA". It matches the Rfam family "Bacterial small subunit ribosomal RNA", at positions 1 to 919 of the family's 1533-position model. The record is from RNAcentral.